AGCAGCCGCGGUAAAUUCCAGCUCCAAUAGCGUAUAUUAAAGUUGUUGCAGUUAAAAAGCUCGUAGUUGAAUUUCGGGAUUCAUCCGUUGGUCGGGCUUCACGGUCCGCACUGGUGUGAUGGGUUCCUACCUUCUGAAUAACCGGCAUGCCAUUAAUUUGGUGCGCCGGGGAAGCAGAACUAUUACCUUGAAAAAAUUAGAGUGCUUAAAGCAGGCCAGUGCCUGAAUAGGUUAGCAUGGAAUAAUAAAAUAGGACGGCAUGGUUCUAUUUUGUUGGUUUCUAGGAUCACCGUAAUGAUUAAUAGGGAUAGUUGGGGGCAUUAGUAUUCAAUUGUCAGAGGUGAAAUUCUUGGAUUUAUUGAAGACUAACUUCUGCGAAAGCAUUUGCCAAGGAUGUUUU
This 400-nucleotide ribosomal RNA is filed under the name uncultured Glomeromycotina. RNAcentral describes it as "SSU rRNA". It matches the Rfam family "Eukaryotic small subunit ribosomal RNA", at positions 569 to 970 of the family's 1831-position model. The record is from RNAcentral. Lineage: Eukaryota; Fungi; Glomeromycota.